This 218-nucleotide long non-coding RNA is filed under the name Cyanistes caeruleus (blue tit). RNAcentral's name for it is "lncRNA (ENSCCEG00000002296.1)". Lineage: Eukaryota; Metazoa; Chordata; Aves; Passeriformes; Paridae. The record is from RNAcentral.
GCUUUCUCUUUUCCCCAGGCCCCAGCUGCUGUUAUGACUGGCAUGAAAAAUAUUACUGACAGAUUGGACACUGUAGUCCUCCAGACAACAUUAAUCUAUUGAUGAUUCUGAAGUGGAGACGUGAUUGAUGCAGUACCAGAAACUGGAAGUUGGCUGCAUUUUCAGAGGAUUUUUUCAGACAUCCUUCUGUCUUUAUUAAGGUAAGAGUACAAGGUAUG